This 72-nucleotide transfer RNA is filed under the name Rhipicephalus sanguineus (brown dog tick). Its description in RNAcentral is "transfer RNA threonine (anticodon UGU)". It matches the Rfam family "tRNA". From Rfam's summary of the family: Transfer RNA (tRNA) molecules are approximately 80 nucleotides in length. Their secondary structure includes four short double-helical elements and three loops (D, anti-codon, and T loops). Further hydrogen bonds mediate the characteristic L-shaped molecular structure. tRNAs have two regions of fundamental functional importance: the anti-codon, which is responsible for specific mRNA codon recognition, and the 3' end, to which the tRNAs corresponding amino acid is attached (by aminoacyl-tRNA synthetases). tRNAs cope with the degeneracy of the genetic code in two manners: having more than one tRNA (with a specific anti-codon) for a particular amino acid; and 'wobble' base-pairing, i.e. permitting non-standard base-pairing at the 3rd anti-codon position. The record is from Rfam by way of RNAcentral. Lineage: Eukaryota; Metazoa; Arthropoda; Arachnida; Ixodida; Ixodidae.
GCCGCUAUAGCUCAGUGGCCGAGCGCUGGUCUUGUAAACCGGUGGUCGUGAGUUCGAUCCUCACUGGCGGCU